UGCCACCGUUAAUUAUAAAAUGGAAAUUUGUUGAAGCAAAGACGAUCCACUCUGCCAAAAAGUUUCCAGGGAUCAAAGAUGGUGAAGAGCUGGCCCUGCAUUUGUGAUUAACAAAGUGUCACGUAACUGGACUUCUCUAGUCCACUCAGGAUCAUUGGCUCUGAUUCUGAAUGUGCGUAGAGUCAAAUUGUUUACCUUUUGAAGAUCAAUUUGAAAAAUCUAUUACAGUAUUUUUAGAAUUUUGUAGUGUGCUAGCUCUCAGCAAACCACGUCUCUGAUUCUCAGUGAGCAGGUGAGCACUGUUGGGGGGGAGACAAGCCAGAGCAGGACAGGCCCGUGCCACCGAAAGGAAAGGGCCAUGCUGUUGCCUGCUGGUGCUUCCUCGGGAAUAAAACGAGAGCGGCAUUGGGUGCGCAGAGCCAGGGUCACUCAGCCUAUCAAGCGAGUCUCUUGCUCGAGAGCCACCUUGUCCUGUCCGAUUCAUUCAAUCAGACCCAUCAUUGAGAACUGGAAUUUCACCAGGGAUGGGCUGUUUUCCAGAUUUUCCAGUGUUUGUUUUAUC
Molecule: long non-coding RNA, 562 nt
Filed under: Pan troglodytes (chimpanzee)
Lineage: Eukaryota; Metazoa; Chordata; Mammalia; Primates; Hominidae
Description: long non-coding RNA NONPTRT007603
Source: RNAcentral